This is a long non-coding RNA of Danio aesculapii, 311 nucleotides long. RefSeq lists it as uncharacterized. NCBI's taxonomy places the organism in Eukaryota, Metazoa, Chordata, Actinopteri, Cypriniformes, Danionidae. The record is from RefSeq and is a predicted model, not a curated record. The transcript is spliced from 3 exons.
CUAUUGCUCUGUUACAGUAAUUGUCAUUGUGGACUCCAGCAGGUCUACAUGUUCUGUUAAGAGACUGGAUUCUGAGAGCGAGAUCCUGUGAAGUGUUCAUCAAAGCUGAAGAGAAGAACUGCAUCUGUGUUCAGCAACUGUCCGGAGUUGGUGGAUGUUCUGUCCGAGCCUGAUUAAAAGAUUGAUAAACAGAUGCUGUGAAGUAAGUCCGGAUGCUACAGACACAGAAAAAGAUGCUGCAAUGGAGGAACACAGCAAGCACCUUCCAGGAAGAGCUGAGGAAUAUUAGAAAUAAAGACUCUAAAAUAACA